UAUACGACAGCAAAAAAAUUUUAGUUUUCAGUUUUAGUCGUAUAUUGGUAUGACGUUGGCGUUGUCUUCGUUGUCAUCGUCGUCGUCCGAAGACACAUUAGUUUUCGCACUCUAACUUUAGUUUAAGUAAAUGGAUCUCAAUGAAAUUUUACCAUAAGGUUCAAUACCAAAAAAGGAAGGUUGGGAUUGAUUUUGGGGGUUAUGGUACCCACAGUUAAGGAAUUAAUGGCCAAAAAGGGGCCAAAAAUAAGCAUUUUUGUAACUUCCAGACAUAACUUGUGUGUAAGUGUAUGGAUCUCUCUGACAUUGUACCACAAGGUUCCAUAUCACAAAGGGAAUGCUGGGAUUGAUUUUGGGGGUAAUUGCCUUCAUAUUUUGGGAAUAAGGGGCCAAAAAGGAGCAAAAAACAAGCAUUUUUCUAGUUUCAUGACAAUAACUUGUGUGUAAGUGUAUGGAUCUUUAUAAAAUUGUACUACAAGGUUCCAUAUCACAAAGGGAAAGCUGGAAUUUAGUUUGGGGGUAAUUGCCAAAAACGUUUGGGAAUAAGGGGCCAAAAAGGGGCCAAAAAUAAGCAUUUUUCUAGUUUCCAGACAAUAACUUGUGUUCAAGUGUAUGGAUCUCUCUGAAAUUGUACUGCAAGGUACCAUACCACAAAGGGAAGGCUGGAAUUGAUUUUGGGAGUAAUUGCCUCAAAAAUUUAGGAAUAAGGGGCAAAAAAGGGGCAAAAAAACAAGCAAUUUUCUAGUUUCAGGACAAUAACUUGUGUGUAAGUGUAUUGAUCUUUGUGAAAUUGUACUACAAGGUUCCAUAUCACAAAGGGAAAGCUGGGAUUGAUUUUGGGGGUAAUUGCCUCCAAA
Long non-coding RNA from Mytilus californianus (California mussel), 857 nucleotides. RefSeq lists it as uncharacterized. NCBI's taxonomy places the organism in Eukaryota, Metazoa, Mollusca, Bivalvia, Mytilida, Mytilidae. The record is from RefSeq and is a predicted model, not a curated record. The transcript has 2 exons.